Molecule: unclassified non-coding RNA, 215 nt
Filed under: soil metagenome
Description: partial contains 5.8S ribosomal RNA, internal transcribed spacer 2, and large subunit ribosomal RNA
Source: RNAcentral
AACCAUUCUCACCUGCGGCUAGACCUGCGGAAGGAUCAUUACAAGUGACCCCGGUUUACCACCGGGAUGUUCAUAACCCUUUGUUGUCCGACUCUGUUGCCUCCGGGGCGACCCUGCCUUCGGGCGGGGGCUCCGGGUGGACACUUCAAACUCUUGCGUAACUUUGCAGUCUGAGUAAACUUAAUUAAUAAAUUAAAACUUUUAACAACGGAUCU